ACGUUCGGGUAAUCGCUGCAAUGAGCGUAUGCAAAUUGUAGAGGAAAGUCCAUGCUCGCACAAGCUGAGAUGCUUGUAGUGUUCGUGCCUAGCGAAUUCAUAAGCUAGGGCAGCUGGUUUAGUCCAGCUGACGGCUGGGAAAGUACCUAAGUCCUUUUGGAUAUGGUAUGAUUACCUAUAAAAGUGCCACAGUGACGAUGCCUUCUUAGAAAUGAGAAGGGUGGAACGGGUAAACCCCACGAGCGAGAAACCCAAAUUAUGGUAGGGGCACCUUCUCUGAGGAAAUGAACGAGGAGAAGGACAGAUUCGUUUGAAUCUGUAGAUAGAUGAUUACCGCCUUAGUACGAGGCUGAAAUGCCGCUUGAAGUACUUGGGAACAGAACAUGGCUUAUAGAA
This 396-nucleotide RNase P RNA is filed under the name Neobacillus sedimentimangrovi. RNAcentral's name for it is "RNase P RNA component class B". It matches the Rfam family "Bacterial RNase P class B". From Rfam's summary of the family: Ribonuclease P (RNase P) is a ubiquitous endoribonuclease, found in archaea, bacteria and eukarya as well as chloroplasts and mitochondria. Its best characterised activity is the generation of mature 5'-ends of tRNAs by cleaving the 5'-leader elements of precursor-tRNAs. The record is from RNAcentral. Lineage: Bacteria; Bacillati; Bacillota; Bacilli; Caryophanales; Bacillaceae.